This 866-nucleotide ribosomal RNA is filed under the name Pseudomonas sp. AE9. RNAcentral describes it as "bacterial SSU rRNA". It matches the Rfam family "Bacterial small subunit ribosomal RNA", at positions 620 to 1475 of the family's 1533-position model. The record is from RNAcentral. Lineage: Bacteria; Pseudomonadati; Pseudomonadota; Gammaproteobacteria; Pseudomonadales; Pseudomonadaceae.
AAAUCUGCCUGAAGAUAGCAGUGGCAGUAGAGAGGUGGGUGGAAAUUUCCUGGGUAGCGGAUGAAAUGCGUAGAUAUAUGCAAGGAACACCCAUGUGGCGACAGGCGAUACACAUGGCAUGAUACUGACACUCAGCUGCGAAAGCGUGCGGGAGCAGAACAGGAUUAGAUACAGGUGGUAGAUACCCGCCGUAGUACGAUGUCAUACUAGCCGGAUGGGAGUCUUGAUAUCUCAGUGAGGCAGAGUGACGCAAUUAAGUAGACCGCAGUGGGAGUCCGGGCGCAAGGUUAAACACUCGAAUGAAUUGACAGGAGUCCGCACAAGUCGGUGGCACAUGGUGUUUCAUGUGAUGCAACUCGAAGAUACCUUACCUGGCCUUUGACAUGCUGAGAACUUUCUAGAGAUAGAUUGAGACGUACGGGUACUCAGACACAGAUAACACAUGGCUGUAGUCAGCUCGUCUCGUGAGAUGUUGAGUUAAUUCCCUUAACGAGCGCAACCCUGCUCCUUAUUUACCAGCGCGUUAUGGCGGGAACUUUAAGGAUAUUGCCGGUGACAAUCCGGAAGAAGGUGGGGAGGAGGUCAAGUCAUCAUGUCCUCUAGGGCCAGGGCUACACACCACACCAAUGGUCGGUACAAAGGGUCAGCAAGCCGCGAGGUGGAGCUAAUACCAUAAACUCGAUCGUAGUCCGGAUCGCAGUUCCAACUCGCAUCUGUGAAGUCGGAAUCGCUAGUAAUCAGAAUCAGAAAUCAGCCAAAAUACGUUCCCGGGCCUCGUACACACCUCCCCUCACACCAUCAAACCGGGAAGCCAGAAGUAGUUAAUCUAACAACCGCAAGACGGCUACCACUGAGUUCUCUAUGCU